This 146-nucleotide ribosomal RNA is filed under the name Balneola sp. RNAcentral's name for it is "partial 23S ribosomal RNA". It matches the Rfam family "Bacterial large subunit ribosomal RNA", at positions 1 to 148 of the family's 2925-position model. Lineage: Bacteria; Pseudomonadati; Balneolota; Balneolia; Balneolales; Balneolaceae. The record is from RNAcentral.
AAAUAAGCAAUUAAGGGCACACGGUGGAUGCCUAGGCAUGCAGAGGCGAAGAAGGACGUGUAAAGCUGCGAUAAGCUGCGGGGAGUUGCAAAAGAACUGUGAUCCGCGGAUUUCCGAAUGGGGCAACCCACUCUAAUUUAUUAGGG